GGUGGAUACUUAUAAAAGAGGUAUUAGGUUCAAAUCUGUGGAAGACAUUAAUCAUUUUUCAAAAUUUUUUCCUUAUUUUUUCCAUAUUUUUAAAGGGAAAUGCCUAGAAUCUGGAAAAAAAUGCGAGUUUUUUCACAUUUUUUAAAACUAAAUCUGAAUUUUUUUUUCUAAGUCCUUGCUAAAGAAAACAAAAUUCAGAUUUUGUUUAAACGCACACCGGUGUGAGGCCCUACUAAUUGGAGCUCACGCACAACACAUCUGAACAAUCCGAAGCGCUAACCAUUACACCCAAGAAUUGCUAGAGGGGAACGCAUUUAAAUGAUUUUUUAUCCACUGAAAUCUAGUACAAUAUUAGUGUUCCUGCAUGGCAAUGUCUCCAUUUCCUCUCAGUUCCCUUUUACUUUCUGGUAUAAUUUCUUGUGCAGAUGACACAAAACAUCCGAAAAAUAUUAUUGAAUACUAUUUUUGCCAUACAAAUAAAAAAUCAAAUCAAAUAUAAUUGAAGAUUGAAAUAAUAAAACAUUUCGCUUAUGCCAAGAUUUGAACCACUAACACAUAUGUGAUGGGAAUGUUUGAAGUUACCAAACAAUUAUUUACUCAAUUCCAUUUUUCCAAAAAGAAUCAUAUUUUUUUAUUAAAAUUUUGAAUUUCCAAAAAACAAACCUCGGCCAUGCAACUUCAACAUAUCGGUAUGCUCUGGUGUGCGGUCCCACUAAUUCGAGCUCACGCACACCGGUUUGACGCCCUACUAAUUAGAGCUCACACACAACACAUCUGAACAAUCCGAAGCGCUAACCAUUACACCCAAGAAUUGCUAGAGGGGAACGUAUUUAAAUGAUUUUUGAUCCACUCAAAUCUAGUACAAUAUUAGUGUUCCUGCAUGGCAAUUAGUAAAACCUCGGCCAUCCCCGUCUACGAAUGAUGUGGCGCCCAUACCUAAUGCAGCACCCGUCCCUGAUAAAAUCAUCCCCGACAAUUUCUUAUCAACUGAUAGUAUUAAUGGUGAAUCAGUUGGUUAUGAUAGUGGUUCUUUUCUUAAAAAAACUCAACAUUCCAAUCGUGCGUCUAAGACGGUAGUUCGUAAAGUUAAGGCAUCGAAAACAACUACUGCCAAAUUAGCGUCGCUUGUAAUGGCAUCGACGCUGGGCCGACGAAAUCCUCGUCGUCGAUUAAGAUGACAAUUUCUCAAGUUCGUACAGUCUUCAUUGAUGAAGCAAACUACUUAUUGACUGAUAGGUUUUGAUCAAUAUUGUCCGUUUUAUUAGUAUUUCACUGAUGUGUUGUUUCUCACUUAGAGUAAACGUUGAAACAAUUGCUGCUAGCAGCAAUUGCAAGCAGCAAUUGCAGCAAUUCUAGCAGCGGUUCUAUUCUUGAAAAAACUAAAAUUGCGAAUAACGUUUCUAAAACUGUUCUGAAACCCAUGGGAUUAGUAAAAAAAAUCCUUUCUGCUGUCAAUGACUGCUGUCAAAGCAGUGUCGCUUCUAAAUAGCAUGGAUGCUGGACCAACCAAAUCCUCUUCGUCCGCUGAGAUUAGUUUCUCAAGUGUGUUUAGCCAUCAUUGAUAAAACAAAUUACCGACUGAAAGGUAGUCGUACAAUUAUCCGUUUUAUUAAUACCCUUUUGACUUUUUUUCUAGUUUUUUUUAUGUUAACGUUUUUCAAUCAGUUGCUACCACUAGCAGUCCCAUUACUGAAUAAACUAACAUUUCGAAUAACGUUUCUAUGACUGUUUCGAAACCUAACAGAUUAGUCAAAAUACCUACUGUUAAAACUGUGCCGCUUCUAAAUAGCACGAAUCCAUACCAAAUCGUAUUCCCCCGCUAAGAAUAUAGUUUCUCAAGUGCCUCCAGCCAACAUUGAUAAAACAAACUACUCCACUGAAAGUAUUAAUGUGGAAUCAAAUGCAGCAGUGGUUGAAUUGUUGAAAAAACCAGCGUUUCAAUUUACGUUUCUAAGACUGUGCUGAAACCCAUGGAAUUAGUCAAAACACCUUCUGUAAAACUAGUGUCGCUUCUAAAAAGCAUGGAUGCUGCACCGACGAAAUCGUCUUCGUCCGCUGAGAUGAUUGAUCGAUGACGAUUAUUGAUCCUUUUCCCCACAUCGCUUUCCCUUUUCCGCAACCACAGCUUCCCCACCAGUUAACCAAUCUAUAAUUGGUUAUCUGUGACUCUGCCGAGUCAGACCCAUCACUCACCUUAUUAUCACCCAUAUGAAUUCCUAUUUUAACUGAAACGAAUCCGAUUAUGAAGCAGCUAGAGGCGCUAGAGGGUAGGCAUAACGUUUUUGCCUUCAUGCGACUCUAGCGUAAGAGAACGGAAACCAAUCCGUUCUACGGCCCUCAAAAAAUCCGUUUUUUAACGACACGGAA
Long non-coding RNA from Daphnia pulicaria, 2367 nucleotides. RefSeq lists it as uncharacterized. NCBI's taxonomy places the organism in Eukaryota, Metazoa, Arthropoda, Branchiopoda, Diplostraca, Daphniidae. The record is from RefSeq and is a predicted model, not a curated record. The transcript is spliced from 3 exons.